Molecule: transfer RNA, 85 nt
Filed under: Loxodonta africana (African savanna elephant)
Lineage: Eukaryota; Metazoa; Chordata; Mammalia; Proboscidea; Elephantidae
Rfam family: tRNA
About the family: Transfer RNA (tRNA) molecules are approximately 80 nucleotides in length. Their secondary structure includes four short double-helical elements and three loops (D, anti-codon, and T loops).
Source: Rfam by way of RNAcentral
GCAGUGGUGGUUCAGUGGUAGAAUUCUCUCCUUUAGAAUUCUCCUCUUUAUCUGGGAGACCUAGGUUCGAUUCCUGGCUAACGUA